AUGGCGGAGCGGGAGGGGCGGCGGCUCCUGCGGCUGGUGCAGGAGGGGAGGCUGGAGCUGCUGAGGGCUGAGCUGCGUCCGGAGGACAUUCCCGAGGCCAGGAGCUGGCGCUGGGGACGCCUGGGGGACACCCUGGUGCACCACGCAGCGCGCCUGGGGCACAGGGACGUGCUGGAAUUCCUGCUGCGGGAGCUGGGGAUGGACCUGGAGGCGGCCAACGGAGACUACAAGAGGCCCCUCCACGAGGCGGCGUCCAUGGGACACGGGCAGUGCGUGUCCUUCCUCCUGGACAGCGGGGCCAGCGUGGACUGCCUGAAAAAGGGCGACUGGACUCCCCUCAUGAUGGCUUGCACCAGGAGGAACCUGCAGGUGAUCAGAUCCCUGGUGGAGCACGGAGCCAACCCGCUGCUGAGGAACAAGGAUGGCUGGAAUUGCUUCCACAUUGCCAGCAGGGAGGGGCACCCCGAGGUGCUCCGCUACCUCCUGGAUGUGUCCCCAGGGAUCUGGGACACGGAGAGCACCGUCAGGAGGACGCCCCUGCACACGGCAGCGAUGCACGGCUGUUCCCAGGUCGUGGAGCUGCUCCUGGAGCGGUGCCACUACCAGCCUGACAGCAGGGACAGGUGUGGAGUCACUCCCUUUAUGGACGCAAUCCAGAAUGGGCACCUCGACAUCGCCCGGAUGCUCCUGGAGAAACACCAGGCGUGUCCCACAGCCAUGGAUGCCCUGGGAGCUCAGGCUCUGCACAGGGCAGCGGUGACAGCCCAGGAUGGAUCCAUCCAGUUCCUGGUGUCUGAGCUGGGGGUGGAUGUCAAUGCAAGAGCCACGUCCCUGCAGAUCCCAGCCCUGCACUACGCGGCCAAGGAAGGACACGCACACACCAUCCAGACGCUGCUGGCCCUCGGCGCCGACAUCCAGGCCAAGGACGGGAAGGGCCGUUCCGGUAAGGAAGGAGCUGCUCCUUCUCCCAACUCCUUCCAUAAGGGCUCCCCAACCUCCAGGGCACCUCGUGCCAUGCCUGCCCAGCACAGCAUGCAGGGAGAUCCCGAAUCCACAGAUCCCAAAGGCUCUGGGAGCAGCGUGACGUGAAAACAGGGUUUGGGGUUUGGUUUUUUCCCAUUUUCAUUCACUAAUUUUCGCCUUGCUGGAAUUCCUGGUGCCUGGCUCGGGGCUUUUCCCUCGGGGAAGAACAGAGUUGUUCCUUGGGGAAAGAGCAGGGAUGCAAACCAGGCUUUCUCUUUAUCCACCUUCCUGGUUUUCCCACGAGACUUCCCGGAGCUUCGAUUCUUCGCCUCGCUGGAAUUUGGCUGGAAUGGGCCCGUCGGGAGCAGGUUGGGGGGACGAGUGCAGGGAUUUCAGGAGCUCUCCAAGCCUCGAUUUCUCAGCAAACAGCCCAGAAAUGGCUCAUGAGCAAAUAAUAAUGCAGGGCUGGGACGUAAAUAGAGUUGCCAUAGUGAUGCUGGCGAGCCGGGGUCGGCAUUCCCGGCGGGAGAGGCUCCGUCAGCUCUUCCAGCAGCAUCUCCCUCUCGGGAACAAACCCCACGGAAAUGGCCUCAGCCACUGCCAAAACUGGCAGCUCUGAACCAGUCUUGGCGUUGGGUUAAAAACACCUGGGGGCUUCUCUCCAUCCAGCCCCUCCCGGAGGGAAUCCCAGCUCUGCCCAGCUCAUCCAGCCCUGGGAUGUUUUCCAUGGCUCCAGGUGCUGUGUCUGUGUCACUGUGUCCUUGGGAAGCUCCUCAUCCAUCCCCACUGGCACCCGCAGGGAUUAUCCACAGGGAUCAGGAUGCACAUGGGAUCAGACAUGGGGAAGACAGGUUCUCCAGGGAGGCUGCUGGAUUCCCAUCCCUGGGAACACCCUGGGCCGGGUUGGACGGGGCUGGGAGCACACCGGGAUAGGGGAAGGUGCUGGGGUUGGAAUGGGCUGAUCCUGGGGUGGCUCCCAGGCCGUUCCUGGAUCCCGAGGCCGUGCCAUCCCCAGCCCUGCACGCGGCCGUGGCCGGGCAGCGGGCGGGGGCCGUGCGGCUCCUGCUGCGUGCCGGGCUCCGGGACGGCGCGGAUGGCUCGGGAACGCUGGCUUGGCAGCUCGCCAGGAAGCCACAGGUCAUCCAGGCAUUCCAGGAG
Myiozetetes cayanensis is the source of this 2121-nucleotide RNA transcript. It is a transcript of the gene named ankyrin repeat domain 16, with no coding region annotated. Lineage: Eukaryota; Metazoa; Chordata; Aves; Passeriformes; Tyrannidae. The transcript is spliced from 7 exons. The record is from RefSeq and is a predicted model, not a curated record.